GCAUAUCAAUAAGCGGAGGAAAAGAAACCAACAGGGAUUGCCUCAGUAACGGCGAGUGAAGCGGCAACAGCUCAAAUUUGAAAUCUGGCCCUUUCAGGGUCCGAGUUGUAAUUUGCAGAGGGUGCUUUGGCGUCGGCCGUGGUCUAAGUUCCUUGGAACAGGACGUCACAGAGGGUGAGAAUCCCGUACGUGGCCGCCGGUCUUCGCCGUGUAAAGCCCCUUCGACGAGUCGAGUUGUUUGGGAAUGCAGCUCUAAAUGGGAGAUAAAUUUCUUCUAAAGCUAAAUAUUGGCCAGAGACCGAUAGCGCACAAGUAGAGUGAUCGAAAGAUGAAAAGCACUUUGGAAAGAGAGUCAAAAAGCACGUGAAAUUGUUGAAAGGGAAGCGCUUGCAGCCAGACGUGCCCGCAGUUGCUCACCCGGGCUCUCGCCCGGGGCACUCUUCUGCGGGCAGGCCAGCAUCAGUUCGGGCGGUUGGAUAAAGGCCUCUGUCACGUAUCUUCCUUCGGGAUGACCUUAUAGGGGAGGCGCAACACGACCAGCCCGAACUGAGGACCGCGCAUUCGCUAGGAUGCUGGCGUAAUGGCUGUAAGCGGCCCGUCUUGAAACACGGACCAAGGAGUCUAACAUCUAUGCGAGUGUUUGGGUGUCAAGCCCGGACGCGCAAUGAAAGUGAACGGAGGUGGGAACCCUUCGGGGUGCACCAUCGACCGAUCCUGAAGUCUUCGGAUGGAUUUGAGUAAGAGCAUAGCUGUUGGGACCCGAAAGAUGGUGAACUAUGCCUGAAUAGGGUGAAGCCAGGGGAAACCCUGGUGGAGGCUCGCAGCGGUUCUGACGUGCAAAUCGAUCGUCAAAUUUGGGCAUAGGGGCGAAAGACUAAUCGAACCAUCUAGUAGCUGGUUCCUGCGA
RNAcentral lists this ribosomal RNA (907 nucleotides) under Roussoella hysterioides. RNAcentral's name for it is "LSU rRNA". It matches the Rfam family "Eukaryotic large subunit ribosomal RNA", at positions 38 to 963 of the family's 3401-position model. Lineage: Eukaryota; Fungi; Ascomycota; Dothideomycetes; Pleosporales; Thyridariaceae. The record is from RNAcentral.